This 28-nucleotide non-coding RNA is filed under the name Cricetulus griseus (Chinese hamster). Lineage: Eukaryota; Metazoa; Chordata; Mammalia; Rodentia; Cricetidae. The record is from RNAcentral. RNAcentral also lists the same sequence under 1 other name.
GGGAUGUAGCUCAGUGGUAGAGCGCGCG